UAGGGAAUCUUCCGCAAUGGGCGAAAGCCUGACGGAGCAACGCCGCGUGAGUGAUGAAGGUCUUCGGAUCGUAAAACUCUGUUAUCAGGGAAGAACAAAUGUGUAAGUAACUGUGCACAUCUUGACGGUACCUGAUCAGAAAGCCACGGUUAACUACGUGCCAGCAGCCGCGGUAAUACGUAGGUGGCAAGCGUUAUCCGGAAUUAUUGGGCGUAAAGCGCGCGUAGGCGGUUUUUUAAGUCUGAUGUGAAAGCCCACGGCUCAACCGUGGAGGGUCAUUGGAAACUGGAAAACUUGAGUGCAGAAGAGGAAAGUGGAAUUCCAUGUGUAGCGGUGAAAUGCGCAGAGAUAUGGAGGAACACCAGUGGCGAAGGCGACUUUCUGGUCUGUAACUGACGCUGAUGUGCGAAAGCGUGGGGAUCAAACAGGAUUAGAUACCCUGGUAGUCCACGCCGUAAACGAUGAGUGCUAAGUGUUAGGGGGUUUCCGCCCCUUAGUGCUGCAGCUAACGCAUUAAGCACUCCGCCUGGGGAGUACGACCGCAAGGUUG
Molecule: ribosomal RNA, 550 nt
Filed under: uncultured bacterium
Lineage: Bacteria
Description: bacterial SSU rRNA
Rfam family: Bacterial small subunit ribosomal RNA
Source: RNAcentral